RNAcentral lists this ribosomal RNA (680 nucleotides) under Salmonella enterica. Its description in RNAcentral is "partial 23S ribosomal RNA". It matches the Rfam family "Bacterial large subunit ribosomal RNA", at positions 604 to 1283 of the family's 2925-position model. The record is from RNAcentral. Lineage: Bacteria; Pseudomonadati; Pseudomonadota; Gammaproteobacteria; Enterobacterales; Enterobacteriaceae.
CCUUUUGUAUAAUGGGUCAGCGACUUAUAUUCUGUAGCAAGGUUAACCGAAUAGGGGAGCCGGAGGGAAACCGAGUCUUAAUUGGGCGUUAAGUUGCAGGGUAUAGACCCGAAACCCGGUGAUCUAGCCAUGGGCAGGUUGAAGGUUGGGUAACACUAACUGGAGGACCGAACCGACUAAUGUUGAAAAAUUAGCGGAUGACCUGUGGCUGGGGGUGAAAGGCCAAUCAAACCGGGAGAUAGCUGGUUCUCCCCGAAAGCUAUUUAGGUAGCGCCUCGUGAAUUCAUCUCCGGGGGUAGAGCACUGUUUCGGCUAGGGGGCCAUCCCGGCUUACCAACCCGAUGCAAACUGCGAAUACCGGAGAAUGUUAUCACGGGAGACACACGGCGGGUGCUAACGUCCGUCGUGAAGAGGGAAACAACCCAGACCGCCAGCUAAGGUCCCAAAGUCAUGGUUAAGUGGGAAACGAUGUGGGAAGGCCCAGACAGCCAGGAUGUUGGCUUAGAAGCAGCCAUCAUUUAAAGAAAGCGUAAUAGCUCACUGGUCGAGUCGGCCUGCGCGGAAGAUGUAACGGGGCUAAACCAUGCACCGAAGCUGCGGCAGCGACACUCAGGUGUUGUUGGGUAGGGGAGCGUUCUGUAAGCCUGCGAAGGUGGCCUGUGAGGGUUGCUGGAGGUAUC